This 469-nucleotide ribosomal RNA is filed under the name uncultured organism. RNAcentral describes it as "bacterial SSU rRNA". It matches the Rfam family "Bacterial small subunit ribosomal RNA", at positions 28 to 507 of the family's 1533-position model. The record is from RNAcentral.
GACGAACGCUGGCGGCGUGCUUAACACAUGCAAGUCGAACGCUGAAGCCCGUUUUCGGGUGGAUGAGUGGCGAACGGGUGAGUAACACGUGAGUAACCUGCCCUUCACUUUGGGAUAACCUUCGGAAACGGGGGCUAAUACUGGAUAUGACUCAUGGCCGCAUGGUUGUGGGUGGAAAGAUUCUUUGGUGGGGGAUGGGCUCGCGGCCUAUCAGCUUGUUGGUGGGGUGAUGGCCUACCAAGGCGACGACGGGUAGCCGGCCUGAGAGGGCGACCGGCCACACUGGGACUGAGACACGGCCCAGACUCCUACGGGAGGCAGCAGUGGGGAAUAUUGCACAAUGGGCGCAAGCCUGAUGCAGCGACGCCGCGUGGGGGAUGACGGCCUUCGGGUUGUAAACUCCUUUCGUCAGGGAAGAAGCCCUUUUGGGGUGACGGUACCUGGAGAAGAAGCACCGGCUAACUACGUG